UACGUAGGUGACGAGCGUUAUCCGGAAUUAUUGGGCGUAAAGCGCACGCACGCGGUUCUGCAAGUCUGACGUGAAAUCUCCUGGCUUAACUGGGAGCGGUCGUUGGAAACUGCAGAGCUUGAGGCGAUGAGAGGGGUGCAGAAUUCCCGGUGUAGUGGUGGAAUGCGUAGAGAUCGGGGGGAAUACCUGUGGCGAAAGCGGCACCCUGGCGUCGUUCUGACGCUCAUGUGCGAAAGCGUGGGGAGCGAACGGG
Molecule: ribosomal RNA, 253 nt
Filed under: uncultured bacterium
Lineage: Bacteria
Description: partial 16S ribosomal RNA
Rfam family: Bacterial small subunit ribosomal RNA
Source: RNAcentral